UCUGGGCAAGUGGCGCGUGCCUGUAGUCCCAGCUACUUGGGAGGCUGAGGUGGAAGGAUUGCUUGAGCCUAGGAGUUCUGGGCUGUAGUGCGCUAUGCUGAUCGGGUGUCUGCACUAAGUUUGGCAUCAAUAUGGUGACCUCCGGGGAGCAAGGGACCACCAGGUUGCCUAAGGAGGGGUGAAUGGCCCAGGUCGGAAAUGGAGCAGGUCAAAACUCCCAUGCUGAUCAGUAGUGGGAUCGCGCCUGUGAAUAGCCACUGCACUGCGGCCUGGGCAACAUAGCGAGACCCCAUCUCU
Molecule: signal recognition particle RNA, 297 nt
Filed under: Cebus imitator (Panamanian white-faced capuchin)
Lineage: Eukaryota; Metazoa; Chordata; Mammalia; Primates; Cebidae
Description: Metazoan signal recognition particle RNA (ENSCCAG00000000730.1)
Rfam family: Metazoan signal recognition particle RNA
About the family: The signal recognition particle (SRP) is a universally conserved ribonucleoprotein. It is involved in the co-translational targeting of proteins to membranes.
Source: RNAcentral